Long non-coding RNA from Orcinus orca (killer whale), 2954 nucleotides. RefSeq lists it as uncharacterized. The record is from RefSeq and is a predicted model, not a curated record. The transcript has 3 exons. Lineage: Eukaryota; Metazoa; Chordata; Mammalia; Artiodactyla; Delphinidae.
GACUUCUUAUAACGCAUAAUUAGAAGAGAUACCUCUAGUCUUCAAGUGCAGCAGUAUGACAAGGAUUUAGGAUGGCUGGGGUUCUAGUGCUCCCUCUUCCCCUUCACUCGUUAGCAAACCACUGUCAACGUCAAGUUCCACAUCUGUAAAAUAGGGAAAUACUAUCUGGGUUAUAAUGAGGACUUUAAGAGAUUACUACUUAAACACCGCUUUUUAAAGAGGCUGAUAAUAGGAGUUCAAUACAACGUUAAUUUACUUUCUCCAUCUUACUCUUCUCGAUUCUGUGUUAAUUUCCCACCAUUAUUUUAAUUUUGUUAUCCUAUUAUUUCAGAAAAAUGUUAUUAUUUCUCCAAUUUUUCAUCACAAUCGUUAUCAGAACACACAGCCAUAUUGUAAAAUAACCAAAACGGGCAGUGAUACUUGUAAAUUUGUUUUAUAACAAGCAUAACCAAAUGCUGAAGAAAUACAGAGGUGAAAUCAGCCUUCAUCAUUUUCUACCCCAUGGCAUCACUACAAACUACUAAAUUGCUGGUCAUUUAUCCCAAAAUUCAUCAAAGAGUCUCCGAAUUCAAUAAUUAUCUUCUAAAAAUAUUUACCGCAUGCUGCUAUAUGCCAAGUAGUGAACUAGGCCCUGGAGACCAUAGUCUCUGCCCUCAUAAUCAGUCAUCAUCUCAACCCUGAUUUGAGCCAUUAUCCUAGGGAAAAUAAACACAUACCAAUUGUUUUAUUUGCACUCGGUAAUCACUACUAUAUUCUUUUAGAAUUAGAAAGAAGGUCUUUUUAUCUGCUGAGCAUCUUGAUUAAGUUUGAGGAAUGGAAACUAAAGAAAGCUGAAGUGCUUUAAAUUAUAAUGGGAAAUGAAUUCAAAUUCUUACGAAAUAAUCCAAAAGAUGGGAAGGGAGUCAGUGAGGUAGAAUGCCGGCAGCUGGAUGGGAAAAAAUCCAAAUAGCAACCCAGGGUGACUGGAUAGCGAAAAAGGAUUUUGAAAGCAAAAAUGGCUAAUAUGGAUACAGAGAUUCUUGCUCUGCAAUGAGCAUUAUGAUCCUUACCAGGGUCUUAAGGAAAGUCUCCAUUACUCACAAAUGCUUAGUCUGGGUGAGUUAUUUUGGUGGAGAUGUGUGAAAUGGCUGAAUUAAGCAUCCAUGGCAAUGUGAAUAAAAGUGAAUAAAAAGGCAACACAUGUAGGGAGAUGAGUCUAGAAAGCAGCUGAAAUCAUGAGAAUCUCAUCCUCCCAGGAAUUUUUAGAAAUCUUGGAUGGGCUUUGGACUUCCACAAGAUAUGAAAUUUGAGUGUUUUCAUCAAUUUUAACCCAGAUGUCAAAAAACAUUUUAACCUAGAUGUCCAGUUGACAUGUAAACCCCAUGUGGAUAGGGAUUUUGUGUAUCUUGUUCACUGCUGUAUACCCAGACUUAGGCCUAGAGUGGAAAACAAGACAGAUAAAGUCCCUGUACUCAUGAAGCUUCAAUAAAGAAGAAAGAAUCUCAGAGAUGCUAAGAAGUGUUUGCCAUCCAGGUGUGGGCGUUAACUAAUUCUCACCAAUGAAAUGUGAGCAGAAGUAGUGUGUGCCACUUCCAAGGCAAGAUUUUAAAGAAGCCUCUCACUGUUGUGGCCUCUCCCGUUGCAGAGCACAGGCUCCGGACGCGCAGGCUCAGCGGCCAUGACUCACGAGCCCAGCUGCUCCGCGGCAUGUGGGAUCUUCCCGGACCGGGGCACGCCUCCUUCUUUGCAAUCCUUCUUUGAUUAUGUGGACUACCUUAAGUAAAUAUCCUUUCUAGACUAGUAGAACUUGACUUUUGGUUGGCUGUACACUAAGGACUCCAGCUGAUACAUAAUUAUGUUCCCCUUAGAAGUUUUGAUAGCACCUUCAUAUUUUCUUACUGUUUUCUUUGUCUUUUGUUUGGGAUGCUUCCCGACCAGGGAUCAAACCCACGCCCCCUACAGUGGAAGCACAGAUUCUUAACCACUGGACCACCAGGGAAGUCCCUUACUUUCUCAACAAUACAAUGCUGUGAUGUCUAGAUAAAGCAUAUAUUAUUAUUAUAUUAUACAGAUGCCAAAACUGAAUCACAACACAAUUAAAUGUUUUAUCCAAGGUUGCAAAGUUAAAAACGGCAAAUACAUCACUUUAAUCGUGGUUCUUAUUUUAAGAAACCAUUUCCACUAUGCCAACUUUCUAAUAUCAAGUUUGGGAAGUAUAUAGUGAGACAAAAACACGACAUCCAUGUAUGCUUAAGGCUGUGAAAAUGUUUAUAAGAAAAUACCUAAACACAAGCUCCCUGCACUCACUUGUGGUUUUCUCUGCCACUCAUCCAAAAACACAUGUUCACCAUGUUUUCCUUUCCCUCUGUCAUCAUGACAAACAAUGUUCCAGAUAGUGGCUACUCUCUCAAUCUGAGUCCUGGAGUGGAUGAUAGCCAGUGUCAGGCUGUAACUGAUGUGCUCUAGCACACUGCUUUAGGAUGUAAGGGGAACAUGGCAUAUGCUACAUAGUUCUGCACUGCUGGGCCUCUUGAAAACACUAGGAGUUCUUGUAGGCUUUACUAAAGCUCCAAGAUAGGAAUUUCUGUUUUAACAUCCCAUUUAUACUGUUUUCUUUUUCAUUUUUUUUUCUUACGGGUAUAUAGUUGCUUUACAAUGUUCUCUUAGUUUCAGGUGUAUGGCAAAGUGAGUUAUACAUAUAUAAAUACAUAUCCACUCUUUUUUGGAUCCUUUUCCCAUAUAGGCUCAUUACAAAGUACUGAGUAGAGUUCCCUGUGCUAUACAGUAGGUCCUUAUUAGUUAUCUAUUUUAUAUAUAGUAGUGUGUAUAUGUCAAUCCAAUCUCCCAAUUAAUCACUCCCUCGCCUUACCCCCUAGUAACCAUAGUGUGUUUUUAUAUCUGUAACUAUUUCUGUUUUGUAGAUAAGUUCAUUUGUACCCUCUUUUUAUAUUCCUCAUAAAACUGAUAUCAUAUGA